Molecule: long non-coding RNA, 1094 nt
Filed under: Ananas comosus (pineapple)
Lineage: Eukaryota; Viridiplantae; Streptophyta; Magnoliopsida; Poales; Bromeliaceae
Description: long non-coding RNA (ACOM_LNC017452)
Source: RNAcentral
UUUUUUUCCUUUAGGAUAUUUUUUAGUUCACCUAUUCUAAACUAUGAAAUCAGAAUAAAAUUUAUUGAUUCUCACACUACAAUAAAAUUAGGUUAUAGAGACACAUAUUUGGGACACUUUUGAGUAAGUGUCCCAUUUAUGCUAAAACUUAAAAACACAUCUACUAAUGCCUAAAUAUAAAGCCCAAUCCAACCAAAAAUAAAAGAUUACUCUACUCAACCCACCACACCCAGUCUAUUUGGCCCGAUUACAAACAGAAAAGAAAAAAAAAGAAAAAUCAAUUACCAUCUUUUCUUCUCUCUUCACUCAAUCCACUGAAAUUCUAGACGAAGACCCUUUACUAUCGUCCUUUUCCGCCACCGCAGCCAACGAGAUAGAGUUUCGGCGGUUGCUAAAUGUUUAAAUAAGUGUUGGUAAAUUAGUAGCACUCCUUUAGGUUAUAGCGACACUCUUUAACUGCCACUAUAUACCUAGCGACCCCACAUAUAGCAACACUUUUUAAAAAUGUCGGUAAUUUUAGCUAGCAGCACUUUUUUGACAUGUACCUACAUUUAAAAGUGUUGCUAUAGACCGUUUUUGUUGUAGUGUCAUAGUUAUUAUUUGUUUUAUUGGAAUUUGAUUUCGGUUUUUAUUCUACUCUAGAAUGGGAAUAUGACCGAAUUCAUUUAUGGCUCAAUUCAGCCUUAAUCCCAAAUUGGUCCAAACCAAAGAAAACUAUUCAAAAUUUUAUUUCACCAACAUCUACCUCCUCUUUUUUUUUAUCAUUUUUCUCUCUCUUAAUCAAAUCCUCUCUCAAAAAUUUAAAAUUUUCAUUUCAAUUUCCAUUUAAAUAAUGAACCAAAUAUUUUUUGAUGUUUCGUCAUUUCAUUUUCCAUUACAAAACAAUCCAAUUUCAUUUUUCAUUCUUAUUCCAAUUAUGAACCAAACAUGUAUGUCCUUAAUGUAAUUGCUUUUUCCAGCGAACAUCUAGUUAAAUACACAAAAACACAUGUAUGUGUGUUGGAUUGUAAGUAGUGGAUGAUAAAUCAAGUGAUAAAUUUAAAUUUUUAAAAGUUUAGAAUAUAAAUUACAAUUUCAAUAGAGUUUAGAUGAUU